Molecule: ribosomal RNA, 422 nt
Filed under: uncultured eukaryote
Lineage: Eukaryota
Description: SSU rRNA
Rfam family: Eukaryotic small subunit ribosomal RNA
Source: RNAcentral
CCAGCAGCUGCGGUAAUUCCAGCUCUAAUAGCGUAUAUUAAAGUUGUUGCAGUUAAAAAGCUCGUAGUCGGAAUUCGGGUUCGGGCAGGCUUCUGACCUCUGGGAAGAUGGCAGGCUCGGAUCUUUCUGCCUUGUUUCUGCUUGGGAGUCCUGGUAGGUUAACCCCUAUCUGUGAGUCACAGGCCGUUUACUUUGAAAAAAUUAGAGUGUUCAAAGCAGGCUAUUGCUUGAAUAUAUUAGCAUGGAAUAAUGGAAUAGGACUUUGGUGCUAUUUCGUUGGUUAUGGGACCGAGGUAAUGAUUAAUAGGGACAGUUGGGGCCGUUCAUAUUUCGUUGUCAGAGGUGAAAUUCUUGGAUUUACGAACGAUGAACUUAUGCGAAAGCAUUCGGCAAGGAUGUUUUCAUUGAUCAAGAACGAAAGU